This 497-nucleotide ribosomal RNA is filed under the name uncultured bacterium. RNAcentral's name for it is "partial 16S ribosomal RNA". It matches the Rfam family "Bacterial small subunit ribosomal RNA", at positions 28 to 507 of the family's 1533-position model. The record is from RNAcentral.
GACGAACGCUGGCGGCGUGCCUAAUACAUGCAAGUUGAGCGCUGAAGGUUGGUACUUGUACCGACUGGAUGAGCAGCGAACGGGUGAGUAACGCGUGGGGAAUCUGCCUUUGAGCGGGGGACAACAUUUGGAAACGAAUGCUAAUACCGCAUAAAAACUUUAAACACAAGUUUUAAGUUUGAAAGAUGCAAUUGCAUCACUCAAAGAUGAUCCCGCGUUGUAUUAGCUAGUUGGUGAGGUAAAGGCUCACCAAGGCGAUGAUACAUAGCCGACCUGAGAGGGUGAUCGGCCACAUUGGGACUGAGACACGGCCCAAACUACUACGGGAGGCAGCAGAAGGGAAUCUUCAGCGAUGGACGAAAGUCUGACCGAGCAACGCCGCGUGAGUGAAGAAGGUUUUCGGGUCGUAAAACUCUGUUGGUAGAGAAGAACGUUGGUGAGAGUGGAAAGCUCAUCAAGUGACGGUAACUACCCAGAAAGGGACGGCUAACUACGUG